UACGUAGUAAAAAAUUUACUAGUUAUAUAUAACAAUGACAUGAUAAAGUUGUUCCAUUCUGUUAAAACACUCAACUUACUACAUUCACACCAUUACAGGUAAGACGAUAUAUUUUUGUGUUUGUACUGGGUCGAAUUAUUCACCCUACUGUGCGUUAAUUUUGUAGGGGUCCUGUCCUCCCGCAUAACCGUUUUGCUCUCAUGUGCACCUCGCAGAAGAGAGGGGUGAGGCAGGCAGACGGGCAAGGAGCAGCGGCGGGGCGGGGCGGGGAACCGGGCGGCGUUGCCGGUCGCAGGGAAACUCUCAGGGGGUGGUAAUUUGAUAAGGGAGAUGAGCGGGGGAGAGGAUAUUCGCGGCGGACACCCCUCUCCGGUACUGAAGUCGAGAGGCCGUUUUCCGCCGCGUCUACCGAAGGCGCCGCCGCCGACGCCGCCGCCCCUGCCCCACGAUGAGCGUCUGCAGGACCCGCGACGCUGCGGAACCGCGGCCUCCGCCGCGGGAGCGUAGCCGCCGGUGGGCGUCCUCCUUGACGAGGCAGCGCCGGCGGCAGAAACUGUUGGUCUUGGCGCUCAUGCACUAGCACCCGCCGCCCUUGCGCCGCCCGAUGCGCCGAUCCUGCAAGCAGCUCGUACCGUACCGGCUGCCGGCGGAGACGUAGCAGAGGUUUCUCCGACAAGGUGGUAUGCUCGCUGGCCGUGACUGGUUUCCGAUAGACAAAGGGGGUCUUUUUUUCGGCCGUGCGGAUGGACCUAAGGUAUGGACACAACCUAGACCACCGGUCUCCGUCUGACGGCUUACCAUGUUCCUCUUACCGUAUCUCCACGACAUACUCCUAGGUCAACUUCGUAAACUACCGUUUUGUGUCUGGAACUUUUGAAGUAGUCCCUUUUAAGACUUCAUACCCAGUGAAUAGUAAAGAUGACCAACACGUCGACGUUCUGAUGGACUCUUUUAACCUCCUCUGAAUGGACCUCAAGUGAUAUAUGCACUACAACGACUACGACUAAGAGAUCAUAGAAGUAACCCUUUUCGUUUCUUUUAACAACAAUAACCACCCCCGAUAUAACCGUACCUCCACCGACGACGUCGAACACCGACCUUAGAACUGUGUUGAUAUUAUAAGGGUCUUCUAGUGUAUUACGGUUCUAACAAAUGCGGAAGGGAACGAUUCUUCAUACUCCUUGACAUACUCGUUUUACCGCAGUUUAAGCAUUUCCCUCGAGAAUAACUGUUUGAACUACGACCGAGACUACCUUCCCACAGAAGUCGAUAUGAAUUUCUACCAAGACAACAACUUCGACUAUGUCAAUAACAACCAUAUCCUCGUUUUGGUAGACAGUCGGGGAAGCUUCGACACCCUCAAUUGUAGCUUCAACCACCUUAUCUCCAACUAAGGUACAAAUCUUGUUCAUAUGGAUCGUAGAAACGAUAACCUCUACACCGUCGAAAAGGCGAGUUCUACAUACUAUCUUAUCGAGCUCACCUCGUACACCUAGUACGGUCUUUCAGACGUGUUGUAACAUAUCUUUGUGAGAAUUGUAGGGUCCGUUUUCGCAUACUGAUGGAAGGCAUAAAGAUAAGAGCUCAAAAACUCAUACUUCCUUCGAGGUCCUUUUAAACCACCGUUAAGAUGCCUCUAUUGCAACCACUUUGUUAACUUCAUCCCUUGAAACUAGGAUUCUAACGAUGGAAGACCUAACUGAGACUAUCAGCUAACUUCCCACAAAAGGAACUCUCACCUUGGAGUCUCCUUAAGAGCGAAGAAGGUUUCGAGCGCUCUAGUGUCGGGUAACAGCUGUUUCGAUUCGAGUUCUCACGUUGAAGUCAACUUCUACGUAAUCUCUAACGCUCUUCGAGAGAAAUCAGACCGAGAAGACAAAUUGAUCAACAGUUGUGUAUACCGGAGAAGUCAAACCCUGACGUCGAACAAAACUUUUCAGUCCUGAUACUACUGUUAUUACGCCGGUAUCAUAGGCAAGAUACGCCCCAAACUUGUCACCCACCAUACUUGAUAUCAAACUUCAAAUUUGUUACCAAAGGUAUACGAUUAACUUCUUUGAAUACCAGUAAAGCUAGCUAGCUUCCUACAUCGUUGCUUUAACCGAUUUAGUACAUAGAAUAAGUACAAAAUGACCCUCAAGAGCUAAGAGUCACGUAUAGAACCUUUUGAAAGAACUCCAGAUGACAAAGAGGACUUUAUGUGUGUUCUUAAGAGAACCAGUAGGUUAAAAGACUUCUCGUGAGAAAAGACUUGUACAACCUUCACCUUUCCAAACAGUCGUAACAGAUAUGUAACAGAUAUGUCUACUUUCAAACACUGGGAACCCCAUGGGAAAGGGUGUUAAGUUGACUGAUAACUUUAAAACA
RNAcentral lists this ribosomal RNA (2367 nucleotides) under Triticum aestivum (bread wheat). RNAcentral's name for it is "partial small subunit ribosomal RNA". The record is from RNAcentral. Lineage: Eukaryota; Viridiplantae; Streptophyta; Magnoliopsida; Poales; Poaceae.